Camelus dromedarius (Arabian camel) is the source of this 2910-nucleotide long non-coding RNA. RefSeq lists it as uncharacterized. Lineage: Eukaryota; Metazoa; Chordata; Mammalia; Artiodactyla; Camelidae. The transcript has 7 exons. The record is from RefSeq and is a predicted model, not a curated record.
GGCAUGUCACAGCCCCCAGGGCGCCAGUCAGCCUGUGUUCAGCUGAAUUCCUCGGGCCAGAACCCUCUGCCCGCGCCACCUACCCCGGCGUCCCGGCCACACCUGUCCAUGGCCAGGUGUGCACCUGCAGCCUCUCAUCCAGCCGGGCUCCCCUCAGUCCGCGGCUGGCGACCCCUUCCCCUCUCCCGCCCUCAAGUCCUCUUCUCCCGGGCUGCCUCUCCUCAGCCGCCGUCCCGUCCCCGCCCCUGGGCGGCCUGUGUCCCGGGUGGGCGGGGUCUGCGGACCCGGACAGGGGCGGGCGGCUGGGGCUGGGGCUGGCCUUCAAGCGGGGCUGCAGCCCGCGUUUCCACACCCCCCCCCCCCGGUUUCCCUGCCCCGCGACCCCGGGGCUGCCCUGCUUUUCCUUUCCUGCUCCCUGAGGACAAGCUCAGCGGCGUGGGCGCUGCUCCCUGGGCUGAGAGCCUCCUGCUGUAAAGCCCAGCUUCUGGUGGAGUCGGGAAAGUGGAUCCUCAGUGCUGAGCAAGCUUCUGUCUCCUCCCUCAGUGUUUCUGCCCCAGGCCCUGCAACAUGAGCAUCCCUGACUACGUGCAGUGUGCUGAGGACUAUGAGACUGUUCCCGUGGUGGUCAAACCAGUGGGGAUCAUCUCAGAGGAGAAUUUCUUUUGCAUCUAUAAACGAAUCUCCUUGGUGAGCCAGAUCAGCCCGUGCAGAUCCCAGGGCGCACUCUGUAUGCACUACAGGCACCACUAUGCGCCCAAGAAUGGAUGGAGUGGCUUCCAGACCCACCGCACGGUCGUGGGCCUUGUCACCAUUACCGACUGACUCUCGGCCAAGGCCUUCGAGAAGCUCCACGUGCAGAGGAGCCGUAUGGCACCACGCUUAAUGACUCUAAGCUCUUUGUCUUUGUGCUGCAUGGGGAGGUAGCCAAGCAGCCGUGCACCGACAUGUCCUUCAAUCUAUGAGGACUACAGGGUGGUGGAGAAGAGGAUUGAGGACUUCACUGAGUCACUCUUCAUCUUGCUCAAGUCCAAGUUGCUGGAUGGAGCCCCUGACAAGACUGGGAACAAGAUCCCACUCCUCUGCAUACCGUUUGAGAAGGGGGAAUUCAUGGGACUGGACACCGACAGCAGAUAGUUUUAGUUACUGAGACCCUCGAAUUCCCAUAUGAAUUAUAACAGCAGCUAAUCAGUUUUUGCAGAGGAGCCCGCUGGGAUUGUGAUCGAGACCACGUAGAAUAUACGGAUCACUCUGGGGAGCACUGCCAUUCCAAGAGCACUGUCUUCUGAUCCAGGAAUGUACAUGGCAUGUCUGUCCAGGUGCCCUCACCUCCAGUGGCAUCCAUCCAGACACCAACACUGACACUGGCCAUGCUCAGAACUGCCUCAGCCCUGAAGACACAAGUGACAAAUAGAAGGGGGCCACGCCCUGUUACAGCAGGUGCUCUCACUUUGUGGGUCCUUAUGUAACUGCGCGGUGUUAAUCAGGAUCGCCCGUUCUACAUUGUGUGGUGCUGCUGCGGUGUCUCCUAGGUAUUUGUUUCUGAUCUGAGGAGCAGGAGCAAGGAACGCAGGGAGAGAUCCAGGAAGACAUCUGACUGUGUUAAGAGACGACAGUCACAGCCACACGGGGAGCGAGGACACUUGCAGCAAAGUAAAACGACUUCACAACUAUUGCAUCAGAGCUGUCGGUGUGAGAGAGCCUAAGCCUGUCUCAGAGUGCAGAGGACAAGCGGAAAGGAAUGUGUAAGAAUGCUGGUGACUGAGUUAGAAGCAUGCUUCGAAGCUGUCCGUGUCUUUGCCAUCCAGAAGCGGAGCCUGGGAGCUUCUGAAUUUCUCCAGAAUGCGGUUUACAUUCACCUUCGACAGCAUUCCUAGGAGAGAAUUCAGCAGUGCAGCAUCCUCUCCGAGCUCUAUGAGUUGAUCGGCUUCCACCGCAAGUCCGCCUUCUUCAAGCGGGUGGCCCCCGUGCAGCGCGCGGCCCCCGGCAUCCUGGAGCCUGGCUGGAAGGCCUGCUACCGACUCCUUCUGCAGAGGCUUCCUGGCUACAGUCUGUCGCUGGAUCUGCAGGACUUCAGCAAAGGUGUUGGAACUAAAACAUUGCUUCAGUCCCAUUAACCAUGCCUGGUUUGGGCCCUGCUGUCCUGUCUCAUCAGGGUGAAUUCUGAUUCGUUUAGAACAGGGCUCAGCAGACUUUUUCUGUCAAGGGCUUGGGAGUAAGUAUUUCAGGGUCUGCCAAUCUCCUGAUCUCUGGUGCAGCUGCUCAGCUCUGCUGUUCAGACGCCAGAGCAGCCGGACAUUCCACACACCCACAGAGCUUUAUUAACAGCGGUGGCUGGGGCUGGAUUUGGUGUAUGAACUGCAGUUUGUCCCCAAAGCCUCCUCAAUAUUGACGCCUGCACCAGAGCGUGCAUUUGCGACAAUGAGUGAACCUGCACUGACACGUCAUCAUCACCCAGAGCCCAGACUUGACACUAGGAUUUACACUUGGUGGUGUGCACUCUGUGGGUUUGGACAGAUGUGCAAUGACAUGUAUCCACCGUCACAGCAUCAUAUAGAGUAGUCUGUCUUAGUGACCUUAAAAUGCUCCGUGCUGCACCUCAUUCAUUGCUCCUUCCCCUCUAGCCUCUGACAGCCACUGAUCUUUUAGUCUCUGUGGUUUUCCCUUUCCCAGAACACCAUACAGUUGGAAUCAGACAGUUGCGGAACCUUCCCAGAUUGGCUUCUUUCACUUAGUAAUAUGCAUUUAAGUUUCCUCCAUGUCUUUCCAUGCCUUGAUAACUCAUUUCAUUUUAGCACCAAAUAAUAGUCCAUUUUCUGGCUGGACCACAGUUUAUCCAUUCACCUACUGAAGAACAGCUUAGUUGCUUCUGAGUUCUGGUGAUUAUGAAUAAAGCUGCUAUUAACAUCUGUA